RNAcentral lists this ribosomal RNA (251 nucleotides) under uncultured bacterium. RNAcentral describes it as "partial 16S ribosomal RNA". It matches the Rfam family "Bacterial small subunit ribosomal RNA", at positions 57 to 305 of the family's 1533-position model. The record is from RNAcentral.
GCAAGUCGAACGGUAACAUUGAAGCUUGCUUUUCUGAUGACGACCGGCGCACGGGUGCGUAACGCGUAUGCAACCUACCUCUUACUGGGGAAUAGCCCGGAGAAAUCCGGAUUAAUGCCCCAUAGUAUUGCUUCUUCGCAUGUUGAAGCAAUUAAAGGUUACGGUAAGAGAUGGGCAUGCGUCCCAUUAGCUAGAUGGUAAGGUAACGGCUUACCAUGGCAACGAUGGGUAGGGGGCCUGAGAGGGUGAUC